RNAcentral lists this long non-coding RNA (431 nucleotides) under Homo sapiens (human). RNAcentral describes it as "non-protein coding lnc-MCM6-2:1". The record is from RNAcentral. Lineage: Eukaryota; Metazoa; Chordata; Mammalia; Primates; Hominidae.
CUAAAGAGAGAUAUGGAAUAUCUUCAAUGAUACAAUCACAAGAAAAACCAGAUCGAGUUUUGGUUCGGGUUAGAGACUUGACAAUACAAAAAGCUGAUGAAGUUGUUUGGGUACGUGCAAGAGUUCAUACAAGCAGAGCUAAAGGUAGGAUUGGUUUCAUUAUUAAAGCUCUUUCGGUAAGGACUCCGAAUUUUUUGUCUUACAUAUUCCUCACAGACCAAAGUAAAUCUUUAAAAACAAAACAAAAACAUGUAACUUUUCUUUCUUAAAAGUCACUGUAAAGUAUUAACCCAUGGUUAAUCAAUUUUAGAUUCCUGUAAAACAUCCUUACAAAUAAUUUGACCCUAAAGACUGAUGAAAUCUAAGACUUCAAGCUACUUUUCUAGCAUCGCUCUAAAGUUUAAUUAUUUUCAGCUGGAGAAGGAGUAGCU